Molecule: ribosomal RNA, 468 nt
Filed under: uncultured bacterium
Lineage: Bacteria
Description: partial 16S ribosomal RNA
Rfam family: Bacterial small subunit ribosomal RNA
Source: RNAcentral
GACGAACGCUGGCGGCGUGCUUAACACAUGCAAGUCGAACGGACAGGCCCUGAUCUUGCGGGUUGCUCGAGUGGCGAACGGGUGUGUAAAACGUGAGUAUCAUGUACUUGUAUUUGGGAUAACUUCAGGAAAAUGCGGAUAAUAUCGGAUAGGAGCUCCUGCUGCAUGGUGGGGGUUGGAAAGUUUCGGCGGUUGGGGAUGGACUCGAGGCUUAUCCGCUUGUUGGUGGGGUAGUGGCUUACCAAGGCUUUGACGGGUAGCCGGCCUGGGAGGGGGACCGGCCACAUGAGUACUGAGAGACGGCGCAGACGCGUACGGGAGGCAGCAGUGGGAAACAUUACGCAAUGAGCGGAAGCCUGAGACGGCAACGCCGCGUGCGGGAUGACGUCCUUCUAGUGGUAAACCGCUGUCUCCGGUGACGAAGCGUUAGUGACGGUAAUUGGUAAGGAAGCACCGGCUAACUACGUG